AUUGAACGCUGGCGGCAUGCCUUACACAUGCAAGUCGAACGGCAGCACGGGUGCUUGCACCUGGUGGCGAGUGGCGAACGGGUGAGUAAUACAUCGGCACAUGUCCCGUAGUGGGGGAUAGCCCGGCGAAAGCCGGAUUAAUACCGCAUACGAUCUACGGAUGACAGCGGGGGACCUUCGGGCCUCGCGCUAUAGGGUUGGCCGAUGGCUGAUUAGCUAGUUGGUGGGGUAAAGGCCUACCAAGGCGACGAUCAGUAGCUGGUCUGAGAGGACGACCAGCCACACUGGAACUGAGACACGGCCCAGACUCCUACGGGAGGCAGCAGUGGGGAAUUUUGGACAAUGGGCGAAAGCCUGAUCCAGCAAUGCCGCGUGUGUGAAGAAGGCCUUCGGGUUGUAAAGCACUUUUGUCCGGAAAGAAAUCCUUGGCCCUAAUACGGUCGGGGGAUGACGGUACCGGAAGAAUAAGCACCGGCUAACUACGUG
RNAcentral lists this ribosomal RNA (486 nucleotides) under uncultured bacterium. RNAcentral's name for it is "partial 16S ribosomal RNA". It matches the Rfam family "Bacterial small subunit ribosomal RNA", at positions 30 to 507 of the family's 1533-position model. The record is from RNAcentral.